GGUAUAGUGAAUACCAUCCCAUGGAACACCUAAACAGUUCAGAUGCACCCACUCUAUCAUCAUUUACAACUCCCAUGGCAUAUCCAGAGCCUGGAGUCUCCACAGGUCCUGUUGGAACCUCUUUUCCUCGAGCCACCUCUACAGCUCCCUCACCAUUGUCCAGUACCUCAGCUAAUGGCCUCAUCAUGGAACCAUUUACCCUCAACUUCACUAUCAUCAACCUGCCUUUCAGAGAAGACAAGCAGGACCCUGGUGCUAUCUUUUUUGGUUCUGUAGAAAGCAGCAUACAGCAGCUGCUCAAUCCCUUAUUCAUGAAAAGCAGCAUUGGUUGUUACUACUCUGGAUGCAAGCUAAUUUCACUGAGGUGAGUCCUGGGGAGCUAAGACUUGGAGUUCUAAGAUUGUCUUCCCUCGGGCUA
Molecule: long non-coding RNA, 418 nt
Filed under: Vombatus ursinus (common wombat)
Lineage: Eukaryota; Metazoa; Chordata; Mammalia; Diprotodontia; Vombatidae
Description: lncRNA (ENSVURG00010014808.1)
Source: RNAcentral